Molecule: non-coding RNA, 45 nt
Filed under: Schistosoma curassoni
Lineage: Eukaryota; Metazoa; Platyhelminthes; Trematoda; Strigeidida; Schistosomatidae
Source: RNAcentral
AUCCAGCCGACAACUCCCAAAUAAGACGAAAUGCGCAUCCUGGAU